AUAGCAGAUGAAUGAAUGAGUGGAAGAUCUUAGGACAUGGUAUAUAAUUUUAGGGCAUAACAUAUGGUUGCUUGGGUUGGAUCUCCAUGAUUUAUCUAGAGAAAGAAACCAAUUGGAGUACUUGAAGAAGGCUGAUUAGGAGGGGAAAAAAGACGCUAGAGUUUGAUGGAGAAGCUGGAUUAGGAGCUUGUGCAUCCCCAUCUUCGGUCUUCUUUGAAAUUAUUGCCAGUGGGGGCCAGCUAAAGAGGUUGGUUAGAGGUGACUAGAUGCAGCAACAUCGCCGAUCUCUCUCAUUCCUUUAUCCUCAUAGGUGGUUCCUUAAAGGCUUAAUUGUAGACUGUACCAUCUCCUCUAUUCGGAGGAAAAAUCAUGAGGAAUUGAGUGGUUUAAUUUGUGAUUUUGAAAAGUUUUAUUUAUUGUUAGUUUUUUAUAAUUCAAGUUAGCAAUUUCUUCCUUCUGCUUUUAAUACAAAUCUAUCUAUGAUCUUGUAUGGUUGUGGCACACCACGGCACUAUUUUGACUACCUGCAAGUUCUAUUUUUUUGGCAACCAAAUAAUUCUUUGAG
This 565-nucleotide long non-coding RNA is filed under the name Vitis vinifera (wine grape). RNAcentral describes it as "long non-coding RNA (VVIN_LNC000728)". The record is from RNAcentral. Lineage: Eukaryota; Viridiplantae; Streptophyta; Magnoliopsida; Vitales; Vitaceae.